This 491-nucleotide ribosomal RNA is filed under the name uncultured bacterium. Its description in RNAcentral is "partial 16S ribosomal RNA". It matches the Rfam family "Bacterial small subunit ribosomal RNA", at positions 28 to 507 of the family's 1533-position model. The record is from RNAcentral.
GAUGAACGCUAGCUACAGGCUUAACACAUGCAAGUCGAGGGGAAACGAUGAGAGAGCUUGCUCUCUUAGUCGUCGACCGGCGCACGGGUGAGUAACGCGUAUCCAACCUGCCUCUGACCAAGGGAUAACCCGUCGAAAGUCGGACUAAUACCUUAUGCAGUCGUCGGAAGUCAUCUGAUGACGACGAAAGAUUUCAUCGGUGAGAGAUGGGGAUGCGUCUGAUUAGCUUGUUGGCGGGGUAACGGCCCACCAAGGCGACGAUCAGUAGGGGUUCUGAGAGGAAGGUCCCCCACAUUGGAACUGAGACACGGUCCAAACUCCUACGGGAGGCAGCAGUGAGGAAGAUUGGUCAAUGGGCGUAAGCCUGAACCAGCCAAGUAGCGUGCAGGAUGACGGCCCUAUGGGUUGUAAACUGCUUUUAUGCGGGGAUAAAGUGAGGGACGUGUCCUUCAUUGCAGGUACCGCAUGAAUAAGGACCGGCUAAUUCCGUG